UACUACAACAUUACCUUAGACAAAAAAGAAAUAAAACUUGUGAGGUUUUUCUUUUCCUUAAACUAAUUACCCAAUAUCUUUAACGAUAUUAAUACUCAGGUUGAAUCUUAUCACAAGGCAUAUUUUGAAUAGGAUAAGAAAAUGUGUAAUAAACAACUUAUAAAUAUUUAAAUUUGGGUGAUAUAAGUUAGAUUUGUUCGGCUAGUGGUGAGAAAAUAUAAUUUGUCAAAGGUUAGAGGCAAGAUGUAAACCCUACUUUGGAUCUGCAAAUCGGGCGCCAACGAUUUAACUCAGUUUCCCUAUGAUCCACCAGUUUCUUCUCAAAAAUCCUCUGGAAUCCAUGAGAUAAGCGAAUCGAUUCCUAAAAAAUCUCUACUUUUGUUAAUCUUUUUUCUAUCUUCCUCUUAUUUGAUCAAGAUAUGUUUUUCUGAAUUGGGUUUUCAAUUUCUUUAACCUGAAGCUCAAUCAUGAUUUCUUUCCACAAAAUCCAAUAAAACAAGAUUUUUUCUUUGUUUAGUCCCACUUCAUAUUUAGAUAACAAAUCUUUAAUCCUUCCCCUAAUCUGUUUAAUUUUCUGAUCGGCAAAAUUUUAUGAUUAUUUAAAAGUUUCUUCCCUCGUGAUUUUUGUUUUUCUCUCUUUGCAGAUUUUUCCCGAUUCUCAAACCCAAAUCUGAUUGGGUGAUCUAGGGUUUUAGAAGAUGCAUGGCUCAGUGGCGGAUCAAAGGCAUCUUAGUCAUUUCCUAAGAAAAUUGUCAAUUAGAAGCAUCUCAGAGAAGAUUGUGAUCAAGAUGAAUUUUACUUCAUCUUACACAAGGCAAGUCCUCAAAAUUUUGAAAAGAAAGUUUGGUCUUACACUCUUACUCUUCUCUAUAAUGAUUAUCAUCAGAAUUUUUCUUGAGCCCAAGAUCAAUCUAGUCUAAUUAACUUCAAGUUUGAACAAGAAAUCAAAAAUAUUUGCAUAAAGAAUACUUGGCAUGAACCUCUAAUUUACCAUGUAUUCAUUUUAAUUGUAUAUAUUCAGAAGAAUAUCAAUUCUCAAAACCCUUCACACAAGUAUUCUUCCUUUCAUCAAGAAACAAACUCAAAACAUCAUUUGUUCACUGUAUUUUCAAUGGCCUCCCAUUCUACCAAUAUCAAUGGCUUAUCUUCCAAAUUUAACAAGAAUUGUAAUGUUUCCAAGAGAACUACCAAACAUGUCUCUCUUGAGACAAGAGGAAGGUUUUUCGAGUCACAUGCAUUAAUAGGCUAUAUCUGUAGAGAAAACAUGCAAGUUCCUAGAUCAGCAGUUAGCUUUUUAGUCAGGGUUAAUUGGGAUGUCGCUAAUCAAGUGGUCGUCAUCAAUGCCAACAUAAGGAAUGUUAUUAUUUUAGGAUUCACAGUAGAGAAAUAUUUCAGAGGGUUUUAAGAUCAAGACCUCAUUCAGUUGGAGGAUAUCUUAAGAUUCUUUUGCCAUUGCAAUGUGACAUGGUGGUGCAGAGUACAAUCUUCCAGUAUGAAGUAUUCAAUAUUAAGUUUAGACUGAGAGCAUACUUGGAUAGAGAUAAUAUCCUACUGAUGGUUGCAACUCAAAAUGGUGAAGUUAUAACCAUGUAUAAUCGAGAGCCAACAGGAGUGAUGAAAGAAAAAGUUCGAGUGGAUGUCAACUUCCCAUUGUGCAGAAAGGUUAAGCUAAAUCUGGAAGAUGGAGAAAGGGAGUUGAUCCCUUUGGUGAUAAAGAAGAACAAGUUGGUAAUCCACAAGAACAAAAUCAAGUUCAAGAGGCUCAAGAAGCAGGAAAUUAUCAACCUGGGGAAAUUAAUCAUAGAAAUACAACAUCAUCAAAUAGAUACUGAUAAUACUCAAUAAGGAGAUGUACAACAGAAUCAUCAAGUGAGAGAAUCUAAAGAAAAUGUAUGGGGUCUACACAACUCACCAGUAUCUCAAAAAAGAUACGUUAACACAUACUUUAAGGAAGAAGGAAAUGAAAGAGCAAACAAAAUAAGAAGAGUUGAAGAUGUGGAUAUGGAUGGAAUGGAUUUGGAUAACCGUAACAAGGAUAUCAAUUUGGCUAUGUUAAGGUUUGCAGAGGAAGUUAGUAAAGAUCAACCUGAUGUAGGAAAUUCAGAAAACUGCACUUUGGGAAAAUCUUCCUCUACUGUAGAAGCUCGCAAUACUAGUGAAGCUAUUCUUGAUAAAGGGACUGACAUAUGUACUGAAAUAUCUUACAAAGGAAACAAUUUGGAUAUUGAAACAACUGCUAUUGAUGCUAAUGCAAAUGAUGGAAACCUAAUCGAUAUAUAUAAUCAGGGGAUUGGGCCUCGAAUCACUAGAAAUCACUUGGGAUACUUAUUGAAAUUACAGAUGCCAGACAUAAUCUUUUUAGCGGAGACAAAGGUUAAACUUGAA
This is a long non-coding RNA of Papaver somniferum (opium poppy), 2385 nucleotides long. RefSeq lists it as uncharacterized. Lineage: Eukaryota; Viridiplantae; Streptophyta; Magnoliopsida; Ranunculales; Papaveraceae. The record is from RefSeq and is a predicted model, not a curated record. The transcript has 3 exons.